UACGUAGGCAGCGAGCGUUGUUCGGAAUUACUGGGCGUAAAGAGUGUGUAGGCGGUGCUCUAAGUUCGGUGUGAAAUCUCCCGGCUCAACUGGGAGGGUGCGCCGGAAACUGGAGUGCUUGAGCGUGGGAGAGGAAAGCGGAAUUCCUGGUGUAGCGGUGAAAUGCGUAGAUAUCAGGAGGAACACCGGUGGCGAAGGCGGUUCUCUGGGCAUGUCCUGACGCUGAGGAGCGAAAGUGUGGGGAGCGAACAGG
This 253-nucleotide ribosomal RNA is filed under the name uncultured bacterium. Its description in RNAcentral is "partial 16S ribosomal RNA". It matches the Rfam family "Bacterial small subunit ribosomal RNA", at positions 524 to 776 of the family's 1533-position model. The record is from RNAcentral.